AAAGCAGGCAAAGCAAAAUAUUCCCUCUUUCCAGUGGAUCUGCUGCAGGUCUGGUUCAGGUGGCUUUUUAAAUUUUACUUUUAAAAAAAUCUCUUAUUUCUUGCCUUUAAUAUAUGUAUAUAUAUAUAUAAUCUAAAUUAAAAAAAAACCUCUCACAGACAGUGAAAAGGAGCUCAGUGUUAGUGGGAGAAUAAGUGAAUCAACUAGCAGAGAGCAGAGCAAGUUGAAGUGUCAAAUUACAUUGGCUAUUUUAUUACCAAAGGGCCCUGCUUCUGGCUGUUGGCAAAAUCUGUCCCAGAUUCCUAUCUGAAAGGGAGCUGUCUCUCCUGGAAGGAAGCUUUUCCUCCCUGCAUGUGCCUGUCUCCUCUUCCCCCCUCCCCGCCACCCCGCUUCCCACCGCACCUUCUGACCACCUAAAGUUAAAAUCUUUAAGAGCCAAGUUGAACAACGCAAAUAAUUGUCUUUCGAGAUUUCCCCCUCCCCUCCCCGCCACCCUCAUCAAAGGGAAGAACUUCCUGUCGAGAGAAACCGAGCGCGGCGCGCACACCAUUGCCCGACUGUUUAUAAAAAUUAAUGAAGGGGGGUGUGGAGGGACACACACACACACACCCUUUUGCAAUUUCCAACCCCCCCCAAUAGAAAGACGUCCAUAAUCCAGUGCACUUUUAAACUGGCAACGUUUCCCAGUCUACACGGCCAUUUAAGACCAUUGUUUUACUCUCUGCGUGUGAAUGGAAACCAGUGAGCUCUAAACAUUUUGUAUUUUGACACAGUCCUUGCGCGCGCGGGGGGGUGUGCUUUAUAGAUACAUUAUAGGAGGGAGUUUUGUGGGUGUUUUUUUUUUAAUUACUAGAAAACCAGCAGCUUAAUCCACGAGCCCCGCACGGUGUGUGCCGCCUGGACCUACUUACUAGGAGGUAAAUCUCAUUUAGGUGUAAUAGGGCUUCCUCCCAGGUAAGACGAGCAACCCGUCGUCGUCCCCCCCCUUCUAUCCAGGAAUUUAACCCACUUGAACCCAGCUGUGAUUUACUUCUGAGUAAGCGCCAAUAAAAUCGGAAGGGGGGAGUAGCCAAUGGCAGGAAACGCGUUGACUUUAAAUGUAUUUUUUCCUCUUUAGGAAAAGUCCGAUCCUUUAAGCGGGAUUUGCAAGACGCCCAGCACAGAGAGGCGGAAGGAGGAGGCGAGGAUGUCCCUAAAUCUGCACAACACCCGGAUCUUCCUCUGACAAGAACCGGGAGCGGAGAGAAGAGGGGAGUGGAAACCAGAUCCCGGGAGGAGGAGCUGCGUGUGUGUGUUUUAAUAGCAGAGCCCCGGUAGCGAGGAGGCUGCUGGGUCUCGAUGUUAAUUGAAAGAGAGGUUUGUGGAUGUGCGCCUUUUUUUGUGAAAAUCUCCCGACUACACAAGAGCUCUCGCUGGGGCUCCCUCGUCCUCCUUGCCUUUAAAUUCGCAACCCG
This is a non-coding RNA of Podarcis lilfordi (Lilford's wall lizard), 1454 nucleotides long. NCBI's taxonomy places the organism in Eukaryota, Metazoa, Chordata, Lepidosauria, Squamata, Lacertidae. The record is from the annotation of a GenBank genome assembly.